GACGAACGCUGGCGGCGUGCCUAAUACAUGCAAGUAGAACGCUGAAGGAGGAGCUUGCUUCUCUGGAUGAGUUGCGAACGGGUGAGUAACGCGUAGGUAGCCUGCCUGGUAGCGGGGGAUAACUAUUGGAAACGAUAGCUAAUACCGCAUAAGAGUAGAUGUUGCAUGACAUUUGCUUAAAAGGUGCAAUUGCAUCACUACCAGAUGGACCUGCGUUGUAUUAGCUAGUUGGUGGGGUAACGGCUUACCAAGGCGACGAUACAUAGCCGACCUGAGAGGGUGAUCGGCCACACUGGGACUGAGACACGGCCCAGACUCCUACGGGAGGCAGCAGUAGGGAAUCUUCGGCAAUGGACGGAAGUCUGACCGAGCAACGCCGCGUGAGUGAAGAAGGGUUUCGGAUCGUAAAGCUCUGUUGUAAGAGAAGAACGAGUGUGAGAGUGGAAAGUUCACACUGUGACGGUAUCUUACCAGAAAGGGACGGCUAACUACGUG
This 495-nucleotide ribosomal RNA is filed under the name uncultured bacterium. Its description in RNAcentral is "partial 16S ribosomal RNA". It matches the Rfam family "Bacterial small subunit ribosomal RNA", at positions 28 to 507 of the family's 1533-position model. The record is from RNAcentral.